Molecule: ribosomal RNA, 431 nt
Filed under: uncultured bacterium
Lineage: Bacteria
Description: partial 16S ribosomal RNA
Rfam family: Bacterial small subunit ribosomal RNA
Source: RNAcentral
AACGAACGCUGGCGGCAGGCUUAACACAUGCAAGUCGAACGCCCCGCCAGGGGAGUGGCAGACGGGUGAGUAACGCGUGGGAACAUACCCUUUCCUGCGGAAUAGCUCCGGGAAACUGGAAUUAAUACCGCAUACGCCCUACGGGGGAAAGAUUUAUCGGGGAAGGAUUGGCCCGCGUUGGAUUAGCUAGUUGGUGGGGUAAAGGCCUACCAAGGCGACGAUCCAUAGCUGGUCUGAGAGGAUGAUCAGCCACAUUGGGACUGAGACACGGCCCAAACUCCUACGGGAGGCAGCAGUGGGGAAUAUUGGACGAUGGGCGCAAGCCUGAUCCAGCCAUGCCGCGUAAGUGAUGAAGGCCGUAGGGUUGUAAAGCUCUUUCACCGAUGAAGAUAAUGACGGUAGUCGGAGAAGAAGCCCCGGCUAACUUCGUG